Molecule: long non-coding RNA, 5101 nt
Organism: Globicephala melas (long-finned pilot whale)
Lineage: Eukaryota; Metazoa; Chordata; Mammalia; Artiodactyla; Delphinidae
Source: RefSeq, a predicted model, not a curated record
ACGUUGGGGUCAACUUUCUUACCGUGCGCGUCCCUCUCUGGGUCUCUCAUUCCCUGCACACACGCACCUCUUCCCCCAGCUCCCUCUACUAGUUUCCGUCUGGUAACUCCUCCGUUUCAUUCAUCCUGGGGAGGCACCGAGGGGACCAGAAAAGUGGGGUGCAGGAAAUCAAAAUGGGGCGAAAAGGAGGAAUGGCCAAGGAGAGAAGCGAGUAAAUUUCGGACGAGCCAAAGGCCUCUGGGGCGUCCCAAGUUCUCACUUGAGUCCCCACCCCCUUCAAGAGAAAAAGAAAAGGUGAAGGAAUUUGCAGUUCUGACCAUGUUUUUGCUUUUGCUGUUGCCUCCGUUUGGAAUGAUCUCCCUCUCCCCGCUUGGUGAUUGCCUAUUCAUAUUUUAGGACCCAACUGGGGUCACUCUGAAAGUUUCUUGAGCCUUGCCCUUCUUCCUUCUCAAAGUACAGUUGCUUAGUUACCCCACCGAAUUUCGAGAACAUUCAAAAGAGAGAGCGAGUUCAAAACUGGACUGGCUUUGAUUACUGGCCUGGUCACUUUAGGUGACCUUGGGCAAGUUACAUAAGGUCUGUGAGCUUCAGGAUCCUCAUCUUUCCAAGGAAGUAACAGUGCGUGGAUCUUACGGUUGUGGGAAUAAGACAAACAGGUACACAAAAAAGAAAAGUGGCUCUGGGGAAGAUCCGAGUGAGUCUACUCUAAGGAAUACUCAAUAGGAGACAAAGGUUUGGCAGAAAUUACGGAAACAAUCUGGAUCUCAGAGCACCAUCUUGAAUCUCAACAAGAAUAAUAUAUCUGGAAUUAACUAUUAUAGCUGGUGGCAACCUUUGCUAUUCCUCAGAGCAAGGUGACCAACUCAUCUUUGUUUUAGUACUUCAAGUCCUACAUCCGGAAAACCCCUCAGUACUGGGCAAUCUGGGAUGGCUGGUCACCCUACCUAGGAGUGUCGAAUUUCCUAUCCGUCCUGACUUUGAUCCUCUCAGGAAAUGUUUGGCAUUCACUGAAGACUGACCUUUAUGCAUGUCCAAGCAUCUCAUGUGGGAUUAACUCAUUAAGUGAGCUAACAUGUUGUAAAAUACUUUGCACAAUGCUUGGGAUAUAGUGUGCUCAACAAAUGCUAUUAUUUUAUUUCUUAUUAUUUAUUUUUCGGCUGCACCACACAGCACAUGGGAUCUUAGUUCCCCGACCAGUGAUCGAACCCGUGCCCCCUGCUGUGGAAGCGCGGAGUGUUAACCACUGGACCACCAGGGUAGUCCCAACAAAUGCUGUUAUUUAAGGGAGAACUGAGAGGAUAUUCAAUUUAUGACAGCAUGAAAGAAGGAAUAUGAGUUAGUGGGAAGGAGAUUCGAGUAUUCUGUACUUGUUUGCCUUCAUGACUUGUACUUACUGUGAUAGCAGAGCAGUUGUGGAAGCAACGAGGAAGGAUAUGACUGAAAGUCACAGCCAAAGCUGGGCUUAUGCAGUUACAACCAUGUAACCAGGGCAGUGAAAGCUGAUAGCACCCGCUAGUAGAAGUCUGUUAUUCCAACCGAGGGCACUUACAGCAGGUUGGGGACUGCUGUGCUGGUGGAGAGCAAAAGAUGUAAAGUAAGGAGACCUGAGAAGCAUCAGCUUCAGGAAAUACCAGGUUCCUCUUGAGACAAACUUUUUGCAAAGAAUUCCAUCUCAGGAGGAAAUAUGAACAAAACAAACAUUCCUAAGGCCCUCAAGACUCGGUUUCAUAAAUCGUGCCAGCAUUAGUUGAUGAAAGAGCCUGCCUUCCCUCCCUCGCAGCCUAACCUGCUCUCCACUGCCCACAUUUUAACCAUUCCUGGCCGGGUGUACUGUUGGCUUCUACUUCUACUUCAGGCUGACUUCCUUCUAACUAUAAUCUUCAGACAAGUAGGAAGCGUUGCUGUCUAAAAGAACUGGGAGAAAGAUCUACUCGGAUUCUCGUCCUGGCUCUGAAACAACAUACUGUAGCCUUAGGUAAGUGUGGAUCUUAGUUUCCUCAAAAAUAAAAUGAAGGGGGGAUGGACUAAAUUUCCUCUCCUGUCAUUCCAUGCAUGACUCUGUGACAUAUUCUGGUAAAGGAUGAGAGUACGGGAGGUAACACAUCCUCUGUGAGCCACUUGAGAGCAAGAGGUUGUAUCUUUGUAGCCUUAGUACCUAAACACAGUGUUGGUCAGUAACCGUUUAUGAGAUUUGUGGAUGAGAAUGGCUUGGGAUUCAAAAGACCCAGAUUUGAAUGCAAUUAUUGGUGGUACUGACUGUGGGUAACUGAGCAAAUCUGGUUCAGAGCACCUUAGCAUCUCUAUCUGCAAAAAAGCUGGAGUGAGAUUUACCACAGCCUUAUGACUCUCCAGAAUUAAUGAAUGGCUGUGAGCGAACCUACAGCUGUGCAGGUGAAAAGAACUCUGUGUUUUCAAGAUCUUGGGUUAUCCCAGUCAACUGAAAUUUGCUUCCUAGGCAGAUGCAGGAUGAACAUGUAUUGCUUGCCCUGAUUUUAGACAAAAGACUACCCAGAAUAGGCUGUGAUUCUUUCAUCCGCUUUGCUUUUUGAUGAGAUCGUGCAGAAAGCUUUAGCCUGCGACAAUGAUUCUCUCUGGCUAACACAGUAAUCAAACAAGUCUUGCUGCUUCCCUCAGCAGAAACAAAUCAAUUUAAGAACCCACUUGGGAAUUCACUGUUUCCUCUCUGCAGACCAGGUUCAAGGCUGGUCUCAUUCUGGCAGCUGAAAUCAAGCAGAAAUCCUUAGAGAACCGUGUCAUAAAGCCACAUUCACUUUUAGCUGAUUAAAAAAUAUAAAAGUAACAGCCCACAUACCUAAUGUGCUAUUUAAAAAAAUGCUUCCUCUAUUCCUUGGUUUAUAAAAAAUUCAUUCAUAUCAUUGUUCGUCUUUUCAAAAAAUAUAUCAGAAUGGUUCAGUUAAAGACAUUCAAGCAUUCGGAAUUAUAAAUUAAGUUGUUUCCUUCCCCCUUUACCCACAUUAGUGAGAUCCCUAGGUUAGUACUCUGGAGGUACAUAUUUCCUGGGCUAUUUCUUCUGCCUGAUGAGAUAAAAAGGGAGAGAAAGCAGUUUUCCUAUCAAAAGAAGCUGCGGCUUUGAAAAAGUCCUCUUCAGGGGCAAAUCUCAUCAGCCAGAAGAUUUUAACUCCUGGGCUCUGAAAGCUGCGGGGUUCAGAGAUGGGCUGGCAGAGAGAUGUCGGUUUGCUGCCCUCUGCAGGCGGCAGUUGGUAAGCCUCGAUCAGUUAGAGGAAGCAGGGAUGAAUCCUUAGGGAUCUGAAAAGAAAUAAAACAAGUUAAUGCCAAAAUAAGCUGCCAGUGGGGUGGAGGAAAUGAUUGUGUACAUCAGUCUACCAUAAAAAACCUACAGCAUUUAGGGAAUGUCAAGAUGGCCACUCUGUGCUGUUAGGUGCAAACAGGAUGUAAUAAAAUACUGUACUGCUUGAUUCAACUUUCGUAAGAAUAGAUUUAGAUUUAGUUAUACCAGAAUGUUAGAUUUUGGUUAUCUCGGUAGUGGGAUUAUGGGUAAUUUGUAUUAAAAUCCUUUUUACUUAUCUGUAUCAUCUAAACUUUCUGUAAUAAAUAUGUAUUAUUCUAGUAACAAGAACUAGUUAAAAAGUGAUUUGCCAAGGCGACUUCUUGGGUCCUAGCAGUGUUCUGUUCCUUGAUUUAGAUGCUCUACAUCGUCAUCAAGCUGUCCACUCAUGAUGGCUGCGAUUCUCUGUAUGUCAGUAUACUUCAAUUAAAAUGGUUUUUAAAAAGUGGUGUUACCGGGACUCUCACACAUUGCUGGUGGGAAUGCAAAAUGGUGCAGCCACUUUAGAAGACAUUUUGGCAGUUUCUUACAAAACUAAACAUACUUUUGUCAUAUGAUCCAACAGUCUCAUUCCUUGGUAUUUACCCAAAUGAGUUGAAAACUUACAUCCACACAAAGACCUCCACAUGGAUGUUUAUAGCAGCUUUACUUUUUUUUUUUUUUUUUUUGCCACGCUGUGCAGCAUGUGGGAUCUUAGUUCCCCCACCAGGGAUCAAACCCGUGCUCCCUGUAGUGGAAGCACAGAGUCUUAACCACUGGACUGCCAGGGAAGUCCAGUGGCUUUAUUCAUAAUUGCCAAAAAGUUGGAAGCAUCCAAGAUGUCCUUCAGUAGGUAAACGAUAAAUACCAUGUUAGUGAACAGGGGCAAGGAGUAUAUGGGAAUUCCUGCACCUUCUGCUCAAUUCUGCUGUGAACCUCAAACUGCUCUAAAAAAAAUAAAGUCUUUUUCAAACUGGCUGUACUCCUCUGGGAAUAUAUUAAAAAUUAUUGAAUUGUAUGCAAUAAAUGAGUGAACUGUAUGAUAUGUGAAUUAUAUCUCAAAGCUGAAAAAAAAGCUGUUAUAUUUUUUUAAAGUGGUUGUACUCGUAGGUGAAAAUAUCAAUAGAUAUAAAGUACUGACACAUGCUACAAUAUGGAUGAAUCUUGAAAACAUUAUGCUAAGUGGAGAAGCCAGACACAAAAGGCUACAUACUGUAUGAAAUGUCCAGAAUAGGCAAAAACAGAAAGAAGAUUAGUUGUUGUCAGGGACCAGGGGGUGGGGAAUGGGGAAUCACUGCUAAUGGGUACAGGGUUUCUUCCUGGGAUGAUGAAAAUGUUCUGGAAUUAGUGGUGAUUAAUGUGCAACUUUGUGAGUGUACUAAAAACACGUUAAUUAUAUACUUUUAAAGUGUACUUUUAAAGGGUGAACUUCAUGGCCUAGGAAUUAUAUCUCAAUAAAGCUGUUAUUUUUUAAAAAUGGGGAAAAAGGUAAUGGCAGAUUUUGGAACAUUGUCUUAAAUAGCUGUGUGCCUAGAAUUCAAAAAUCAGUCUUUCGAACAAUAUAGCGUAAUGCACGUUAAAAAAUUAGUUUCAAUUAAGAAUGGCCAGGGCUUCCCUGGUGGCGCAGCGGAUAAGAGUCUGCCUGCCGAUGCAGGGGACACGGGUUCGUGCCCCGGUCAGGAAAGAUCCCACAUGCCGCAGAGCGGCUGGGCCCGUGAGCCAUGGCCGCUGAGGCUGCGCAUCCGGAGCCUGUGCUCCACAACGGGAAAGGCCAAAACAGUGAGAGGCCCGCGUACCGCAAAAAAAAAAAAAAGA